AAGCAUAUCAAUAAGCGGAGGAAAAGAAACUAACAAGGAUUCCCCUAGUAACUGCGAGUGAAGCGGGAAAAGCUCAAAUUUAAAAUCUGGUAGUUAUUUGACUAUCCGAGUUGUAAUCUAGAGAAGUGUUAUCCGUGCUGGACCAUAUAUAAGUCUCUGGAAUGGAGCAUCAUAGAGGGUGAGAAUCCCGUCUUUAAUAUGGACUACCAGGACAUUGUGAUACGCUUUCAAAGAGUCGAGUUGUUUGGGAAUGCAGCUCUAAAUGGGUGGUAAAUUCCAUCUAAAGCUAAAUAUUGGCGAGAGACCGAUAGUGAACAAGUACCGUGAGGGAAAGAUGAAAAGAACUUUGGAAAGAGAGUUAAAUAGUAUGUGAAAUUGUUGAAAGGGAAACGCUUGAAGUCAGUCGCAUUGGUCAGAGAUCAACCUAACUAUAUAGUUUGGUGUAUUUUUUGAUUAAUGGGUCAGCAUCAAUUUUGAUCAGUAGAAAAAGAUUGAAAGAAUGUAGCAUCUUCGGAUGUGUUAUAGCUUUUAAUUGUAUAUACUGGUUGGAAUUGAGGAACUCAGCAUGCCAUAAGGCCGGGUUGUUUUCAACCACGUUCAUGCUUAGGAUGCUGGCAAUAAUGGCUUUAAUCGACCCGUCUUGAAACACGGACCAAGGAGUCUAACAUGCCUGCAAGUGUUUGAGUGGAAAACUCAAGCGCGCAAUGAAAGUGAAAAUUGAGAUCUCUAUUAUUUAGAGAGCAUCAAUGCCCGGACCAGACCUUCUGUGACGGAUCCGCGGUUGAGCAUGUAUGUUGGGACCCGAAAGAUGGUGAACUAUGCCUGAAUAGGGUGAAGCCAGAGGAAACUCUGGUGGAGGCUCGUAGCGAUUCUGACGUGCAAAUCGAUCGUCAAAUUUGGGUAUAGGGGCGAAAGACUAAUCGAACCAUCUAGUAGCUGGUUCCUGCCGAAGUUUCCCCUCA
Molecule: ribosomal RNA, 962 nt
Filed under: Entoloma sp.
Lineage: Eukaryota; Fungi; Basidiomycota; Agaricomycetes; Agaricales; Entolomataceae
Description: partial large subunit ribosomal RNA
Rfam family: Eukaryotic large subunit ribosomal RNA
Source: RNAcentral